UAGCUAGUUGGUGAGGUAACGGCUUACCAAGGCGACGAUCUGUAGCGGGUCUGAGAGGAUGAUCCGCCACACUGGAACUGAGACACGGUCCAGACUCCUACGGGAGGCAGCAGUGGGGAAUUUUGGACAAUGGGGGCAACCCUGAUCCAGCCAUGCCGCGUGAGUGAAGAAGGCCUUCGGGUUGUAAAGCUCUUUCGGCCGGGAAGAAAUCGCAUGGGCCAAUACCCUGUGUGGAUGACGGUACCGGAAUAAGAAGCACCGGCUAACUACGUGCCAGCAGCCGCGGUAAUACGUAGGGUGCGAGCGUUAAUCGGAAUUACUGGGCGUAAAGCGUGCGCAGGCGGUUUUGUAAGACAGGCGUGAAAUCCCCGGGCUCAACCUGGGAACUGCGUUUGUGACUGCAAGGCUAGAGUACGGCAGAGGGGGGUGGAAUUCCACGUGUAGCAGUGAAAUGCGUAGAGAUGUGGAGGAACACCAAUGGCGAAGGCAGCCCCCUGGGUCGAUACUGACGCUCAUGCACGAAAGCGUGGGUAGCAAACAGGAUUAGAUACCCUGGUAGUCCACGCCCUAAACUCUGUCAACUAGGUGUUGGGUGGGUAAAACCAUUUAGUACCGUAGCUAACGCGUGAAGUUGACCGCCUGGGGAGUACGGCCGCAAGGUUAAAACUCAAAGGAAUUGACGGGGACCCGCACAAGCAGUGGAUGAUGUGGAUUAAUUCGAUGCAACGCGAAAAACCUUACCUACCCUUGACAUGCCAGGAACUUGCCAGAGAUGGCUUGGUGCCCGAAAGGGAGCCUGGACACAGGUGCUGCAUGGCUGUCGUCAGCUCGUGUCGUGAGAUGUUGGGUUAAGUCCCGCAACGAGCGCAACCCUUGUCGUUAAUUGCCAUCAUUUAGUUGGGCACUUUAGCGAGACUGCCGGUGACAAACCGGAGGAAGGUGGGGAUGACGUCAAGUCCUCAUGGCCCUUAUGGGUAGGGCUUCACACGUCAUACAAUGGUCGGUACAGAGGGUCGCCAAGCCGCGAGGUGGAGCCAAUCCCAGAAAGCCGAUCGUAGUCCGGAUUGCAGGCUGCAACUCGCCUGCAUGAAGUCGGAAUCGCUAGUAAUCGUGGAUCAGCAUGUCACGGUGAAUACGUUCCCGGGUCUUGUACACACCGCCCGUCACACCAUGGGAGCGGGUUCCGCCAGAAGUAGGUAGCCUAACCGCAAGGAGGGCGCUUACCACGGCGGGGUUCGUGACUGGGGUGAAGUCGUAACAAGGUAGCCGUAGGGGAACCUGCGGCUG
RNAcentral lists this ribosomal RNA (1287 nucleotides) under metagenome. RNAcentral's name for it is "bacterial SSU rRNA". It matches the Rfam family "Bacterial small subunit ribosomal RNA", at positions 242 to 1520 of the family's 1533-position model. The record is from RNAcentral.